This 192-nucleotide non-coding RNA is filed under the name uncultured Clostridium sp. The record is from RNAcentral. Lineage: Bacteria; Bacillati; Bacillota; Clostridia; Eubacteriales; Clostridiaceae.
AGAACUUAUAUCUUGAGUUGUAAAAUGAUAGAGUAACGUCUUGAAGUGCACCUCUAAUACUCCGAUUAGCAGAUAAAGCUAUGAUAAUUAGCCUAAUGUUAAAAGCUCGGUGAAGUCAGCUGAGAACUACCGUAAUUAUACGAAAGUCGUUUAGAGGUAAAUGAUGUAGUCUAUAGGCUGGGAGUCCAUAAA